CCGAGUGAUUAUUUCUUCAUCGUAAACCGCCACGAAAAUUGAGAUAUAUCCGAAAACCGGCAUCUCAAAAUCGCCGAAACUGCCAUGAACUGUAUGGAAUAUACCCCCCUUUCACUUCACCCGGCCUGCGCAGAGUUAAACUUUUCUCCAGAUUUGGCCAGCCUGUUUCUCCUCCCCCAGUUUCGCCAAAGGUUUUGACCUAAAUCUAGUUGUCUUGUCUUGUUCCACUGUUUGGAACAAUGUUCCAAAUGUUAGUAUAUAUAAGUAAUCCGUGUAUAGUUUCAAUUGAAAUAUGUGUAAGAACCGAGUUGCAAAUUACACAUUCCUAAAUAUUAC
Non-coding RNA from Paramuricea clavata, 336 nucleotides. Lineage: Eukaryota; Metazoa; Cnidaria; Anthozoa; Malacalcyonacea; Plexauridae. The record is from the annotation of a GenBank genome assembly.